RNAcentral lists this ribosomal RNA (119 nucleotides) under Pteropus alecto (black flying fox). Lineage: Eukaryota; Metazoa; Chordata; Mammalia; Chiroptera; Pteropodidae. The record is from RNAcentral.
GUCUACGGCCAUGCUACCCUGAACAAGCCCGAUCCCGUCUGAUCUCGGAAGCUAAGCAGGGUUGGGCCUGGUUAGUACUUGGAUGGGAGACCACCUAGGAAGACCAGGUGCUGUAGGCG